CCGGGAGCCGCCCGGGCUGCGCCGCGCCCGCAGGGAGGCUGAGGGGAGGGGGUCCCAGCCCGGGCCAUCCCCCGAAGAGGUGAAAGGUUGGCGACCGAUGAGGAGACUGAGGCACACAGAGCAGUUACACUAAUCCUCUGAACUCAGCUCUUGAAAUACCUGGCACCUGAUGGUACUUCUGUUCUCUGCAAAAGCAGGUGGAAAAAUGUCCUUCUACAUUCCACAAAAGAGAAAACGGAGGCCUAAAGAGGGAAGUGACUUACCCAGGUUCACAGAUGCAGUCAGCGACCGAUCUGAGAAUGGAACACCAUUUUCUGACUCUUAAACCACAGCCCUCAGCCUGGGCAGUCACCUCCUUCCUCAAGAGGAAGCCCUCAGUAACUCCUCAGAGACAGGGCCUUUGUACUAAAUAGGAGCCACAGAGAUUGGGCAGUGGGGGGGUGUCCACCCUCAGUCUUUCCACUCCAAUCCAUGAGACUUUUAUAUUCACAGUACUUUCAAAUGCAGAUUGCAUAGAACAUCCCUUUAAAGGAACUUUCUAAGGCUCAUUCUGAAGCAAAACAUGACCCUGCAGGUAUGGAAAAAUAAAAGCUCCUAAAGAAUAGGAAAAAAUGCAGCGGUAUAUGAGUCCUCAUCUCUGUCCUUGCACUUUCUCUUUCCCUCUAGUAUCCUCUCAUUUCAAUCCUCUCUUCCACUAUGCACCCAGAACUUGGGAUUUGUCAUUAUUCCAUUCCUUCCCGUCCAAGCCCAGGUAAAAUCCAGGUUACCUCUUUUGCUUCUCAUUUCAGGUGAGACCAGUAGGAAUUUCCAGCUUUACUAAAAGCCUUAAACACAUCCUUGUUCAAGAACAUGCAGUGCCUUCCUGGAGUCUAUGGUAUC
Molecule: long non-coding RNA, 879 nt
Organism: Manis pentadactyla (Chinese pangolin)
Lineage: Eukaryota; Metazoa; Chordata; Mammalia; Pholidota; Manidae
Exons: 3
Source: RefSeq, a predicted model, not a curated record